Molecule: ribosomal RNA, 1902 nt
Filed under: Triticum aestivum (bread wheat)
Lineage: Eukaryota; Viridiplantae; Streptophyta; Magnoliopsida; Poales; Poaceae
Description: partial small subunit ribosomal RNA
Source: RNAcentral
AUGCGCCAAGUACAAGAGCUUCUCGACAAAGGUUAUAUACGCGAAUCCCCUAGUCCUUGUGCUGUUCCUAUUAUUCUAGUGCCGAAAAAGGAUGGUACAUCACGUAUGUGUGUUGAUUGUAGAGGCAUUAAUAAUAUUACUAUUCGUUAUCGUCAUCCUAUUCCUAGGCUAGAUGAUAUGCUUGAUGAAUUGAGUGGCUCUACAAUAUUCUCCAAAGUUGAUUUGCGUAGUGGAUACCAUCAAAUUCAUAUGAAAUUGGGAGAUGAAUGGAAAACAGCAUUCAAAACUAAGUUUGGAUUAUAUGAGUGGUUAGUCAUGCCUUUUGGGUUAACUAAUGCACCUAGUACUUUCUUGAGAUUAAUGAACGAAGUUUUACGUGCUUUCAUUGGACGAUUUGUGGUAGUUUACUUUGAUGACAUAUUGAUUUAUAGCAGAUCUUUGGAAGAACAUUUGGAACAUUUACGUGCUGUUUUUAUUGCUCUACGUGAUGCACGUUUGUUUGGUAACCUUGGGAAGUGCACCUUUUGCACCGACCGAGUAUCUUUUCUUGGCUAUGUUGUUACUCCACAGGGAAUUGAAGUUGAUAAAGCCAAGAUUGAAGCUAUUGAGAGUUGGCCGCAACCCAAAAUGGUCACACAAGAGAGGAGUUUUCUUGGCCUCGCUAGAUUCUAUAGGCGUUUUGUGAGAGAUUUCAGCACCAUUGCUGCACCUCUCAAUGAGCUUACAAAGAAAGAUGUGCCUUUUCUUUGGGGUACCGCACAGGAAGAAGCCUUCUCGGUAUUGAAAGAUAAGUUGACACAUGCUCCUUUACUCCAACUUCCUGAUUUUAAUAAGACUUUUGAGCUUGAAUGUGAUGCUAGUGGAAUUGGAUUAGGCGGCGUGUUAUUACAAGAUGGCAAACCUGUUGCAUACUUUUCUGAAAAAUUGAGUGGGCCUAGUCUGAAUUAUUCUACUUAUGAUAAAGAAUUAUAUGCUCUUGUUCGGACUUUAGAAACAUGGCAACAUUAUUUAUGGCCCAAAGAAUUUGUUAUACAUUCUGAUCAUGAAUCUUUGAAACAUAUUAAAAGUCAAGCUAAACUGAAUCAUAGACAUGCUAAAUGGGUUGAAUUCAUUGAGACUUUUCCUUAUGUCAUUAAACACAAGAAGGAAAAAGAAAAUGUUAUUGCUGAUGCAUUGUCUCGCCGCUAUACUAUGCUUUCAAAACUUGACUUCAAAAUAUUUGGUUUGGAGACCAUCAAAGAUCAAUAUGUGCAUGAUGCUGAUUUUAAAGAUGUAAUGCAGAAUUGUAAAGAAGGAAGAAUGUGGAACAAGUUCGUCGUUAACGAUGGAUUUGUGUUUCGUGCUAACAAGUUGUGCAUUCCAGCUAGCUCCGUUCGUCUUUUGUUGUUGCAGGAGGCGGAUGGAGGGGGAUUAAUGGGACACUUUGGCGUGAAGAAGACGGAGGACGUACUUGCUACACAUUUCUUUUGGCCAAAGAUGAGACGUGAUGUUGAGCGUUUUAUUGCUCGAUGCACUACAUGUCAAAAAGCUAAGUCACGACUCAAUCCUCAUGGUUUAUAUAUGCCUUUGCCUGUACCUAGUGUUCCUUGGGAGGAUAUAUCUAUGGACUUUGUUUUAGGUUUACCUCGAACAAAGAAGGGGAGGGAUAGCAUAUUUGUUGUCGUGGAUAGAUUCUCGAAAAUGGCACACUUUAUACCAUGUCAUAAAAGCGAUGAUGCUGUUAAUGUUGCUGAUUUGUUCUUUCGUGAAAUUAUUUGCUUGCAUGGUGUGCCAAAUACUAUUGUUUCAGAUCGUGAUACUAAAUUUCUUAGCCACUUUUGGAGAUGUUUAUGGGCUAAGUUGGGGACUAAACUACUUUUUAGUACUACUUGUCACCCCAAACUGAUGGACAAACUGAAGUAG